GUUCGAAUGCCCGGUCAAUCGCUCUCCGACCCAAACGUAGCGUUCUCUCACAACGCGGCCCAUAUGGAAAAAAGAAAAAACAGAGACCGAGUAACUUGGAGGUCUAGGACUGAAGUGCAGCCCUUUGAUUUCUUCUUUGAAGGAUCUUUUUCCAACUGCACUUGUGCCUGAUUUGACGUGCGUGUCAGCAGUUGAGGUACGGGGAGGCUGCCUGGGCCAAGCAGAAAGGCCGCAGGUGGGCAUUUCGUUUGUCUCGAGAUCCGUCACUUUUUCACAAGGCGCCGUGCACUGAAAGGCGAACAGACGUACCUGAUCCAGGAACUGUAACUGGGACUCUGCGUGCAGGGCAAGGUGGCUGAAGAUGCCAGGUUGUCUUUCUGUGGUUCUCGUUUGAGGAAAAACCCCAAGACGUACGAAAUGGAAUCGGUAGACAGUCGCGUCGGGGAAACAGGUUUCUGCGUCUCGCAGUGGGCCGGCCACGACCCCUUGAAAUGAAAAUCCCUUUUCCGCGGAAAAUGCAGCGAAAGACUGCGCCCAUCUGAGACUCUGCGGUCUGCGAAGAAUUUUCGAAGCGUGCGUGGCGAUGAAGGUCCACACCGCAGGUACCAGCAAUGGCCCCGGGCGCGCUUCGGUUUAGUCCUUUAGGAAAUGGAGGAACGAUAGAGACGACUACACUGUUUAGGGUAAGAGCCACCUUUUAGUGAAAAUCCAGUUAAAACUAUUACAGACUUUAAUUAAAUGCAGACUCUUUAGUGGUAAAUGAAGUCGAAGGCGCUCAAGCCGUAGGUCUGGACUGCGGCACAGACACAGGGAAACGAAAUCGGGAACUUCAAAUGGAGGGGGAGGAAAAGCAGAACGACAAGGAAGCCGCGAAGGUGUUUUCAACUCUGCGAAAGAGAAUGUGCACGUCUGAAAUCUGGCACCACACUGGAGUUUCUCAGCGCAGAGGCGGGAACUCGACAACCGCGUUUGCGACCUUUUUGUCGUUUGCUCUGCCCGGGGUUCAGCUGUCAGUGGAUUUCUCUCAAACGCUCUGUGGACCCUUUCGCGACAGAGUUCCGGAUCCGUCUUUUACCGCCGAACUUUUGAGCAGGACCUCCUCGCGAGCGGCUAACAUUCGCAGAAUUGAAUCUCGUUGGCUACCAUUGAAUCGACAGUUACGUGAGAGCGACUGUUCCAGUCCUGGCCGACCAGAAAUCUCUACCGACACACAGAGCUGUGCCGACAGCGCGCGGACCUUUUCCACGUGAAGAGGACGGAGGAGAAGACGGCACUUGAAGAAACACCGGCGGAGACCGUUCUAAGCGGGCACAGCGCUUUCUUCCCGGAUGAGAUCCGUACUCCGCCCGUAGUUAUUGUCAGCAAUUCGGAAAUCGUGAAUGCGGGAUGGACACGGCUUGCCCGAGUCCUUACCUCAGAGAGUGCAUGCCGCAUUACUUUCGAUGGGGUAGCUGUGAUCUGUGCGGUCUUCCUAAGCGAAUAUUUUCC
RNAcentral lists this long non-coding RNA (1488 nucleotides) under Toxoplasma gondii VEG. Lineage: Eukaryota; Apicomplexa; Conoidasida; Eucoccidiorida; Sarcocystidae. The record is from RNAcentral.